This 25-nucleotide microRNA is filed under the name Ananas comosus (pineapple). RNAcentral describes it as "microRNA s0906_c119a". The record is from RNAcentral. Lineage: Eukaryota; Viridiplantae; Streptophyta; Magnoliopsida; Poales; Bromeliaceae.
CGAUACAAACAGAAGAUUCUCCACC